This 468-nucleotide ribosomal RNA is filed under the name uncultured bacterium. RNAcentral describes it as "partial 16S ribosomal RNA". It matches the Rfam family "Bacterial small subunit ribosomal RNA", at positions 28 to 507 of the family's 1533-position model. The record is from RNAcentral.
GACGAACGCUGGCGGCGUGCUUAACACAUGCAAGUCGAACGGAAAGGCCCUGCUUUUGUGGGGUGCUCGAGUGGCGAACGGGUGAGUAACACGUGAGUAACCUGCCCUUGACUUUGGGAUAACUUCAGGAAACUGGGGCUAAUACCGGAUAGGAGCUCCUGCUGCAUGGUGGGGGUUGGAAAGUUUCGGCGGUUGGGGAUGGACUCGCGGCUUAUCAGCUUGUUGGUGGGGUAGUGGCUUACCAAGGCUUUGACGGGUAGCCGGCCUGAGAGGGUGACCGGCCAGAUGGGGAAGAAGAUGCGGCCGGGACUGCAACGGGAGGCAGCAGCGGGGAAGAUGGGACAAUGGGCGGAAGCCUGAUGCGGCAACGCCGCGUGGGGGAUGACGGCCUUCGGGUUGUAAACCGCUUUCGCCUGUGACGAAGCGUGAGUGACGGUAAUGGGUAAAGAAGCACCGGCUAGCUACGUG